This 1416-nucleotide ribosomal RNA is filed under the name Burkholderia mallei 2002721280. Its description in RNAcentral is "16S ribosomal RNA". Lineage: Bacteria; Pseudomonadati; Pseudomonadota; Betaproteobacteria; Burkholderiales; Burkholderiaceae. The record is from RNAcentral.
ACGCCUGAUAGCCGCCGAUCUCCGCGUACGUGCCGCUUCUGAGCGCCGCGCUGAGCACGAACAGAUACAGCAGCGGCUGCGUGAGCCCGAACAGGAUGCGCAGCGGCGACGCCCAGAAGCGCUUGAGGUCGAACCAGACGAUCGCGGCGACGGCGCUCAUGCGGGCCGCCCGGCGAAACGUGGCGCGGCGUCGCCGCCGCGGCGCGCGGCGAUCCAGUGGCCGACGACAUCCUUCAGCCCCGGCGCGGCGAUAUCGGCGCCGAGCACGCGGCACGGCAUCUGCCGCAGCAGCGCCGGCAGCACCGCCUGCGGAUCGGCGCCCGCGACCGCGAUGCCUUGCGCGUCGACUUCGAACGGAUAGCCGUGCUCGGCGAGCCAGCGGCGCGCCGCGUCGAUGUCCGGCACGCGCAGCCGGAUCACGCCGGGCACGGGCGCGCGCAUCGCACGCCACGAACCGAGCGCGACCAGCUCGCCGCGAUCGAGCACGACGACGCGGUCGGCGUCGCACGCCUCGUCGGUAUGAUGGGUCGAGCAGAGCACCGUGCGCCCGUCGGCGACGAGCCGCUUGAUCUCGGCCCAGAACGCGUCGCGCGCGGCCACGUCGAGGCCGAGCGUCGGCUCGUCGAGCAGCAGCACGCGCGGCUGCGCGACGAGCGCGCGCGCGAGCUCGAGCCGCCGGCGCUCGCCGCCCGAGAGCCGGCGCACGAGCGUCGCCGCGUGCGCGCGAAGACCGAGCGCCUCGAGCAGCGCGUCCACGCGCGUGUGCGCGGCGCGCCCGGUCACGCCCUGGCAACGCGCGAUGAACCACAGGUUCUCGCGCGCGGUGAGCCGCGGCUCGAGCGCCGAUUCCUGAAACACGACGCCGAUGCGCUCGCGCACGCGCGCGGGCUGCGCGAGCGCGUCGAAGCCGUCGACGAAGAUGCGCCCGCCGCUCGGCGCCGCGAGCGUCGCGACGAGCGACAGCAGCGAAGUCUUGCCCGCGCCGUUCAAGCCGACCAUCGCGACCAGUUCGCCGUACCCGAUCGUGACCCGCACGCGCUGCAGGAUCGCGCGGCCGCCGCGCUGCAGGCUCACGUCUUGCAAGUCGAUGCAGGGAGCGUGCGAUUCUCGCGGUUCGUGCAGCUCAUGCGGUUCGCGCGGUUCAUGUGUUGCGUUCGUCAUCGCGGGCGGCGCUCCGUCGUGUUAGUCGAGCCGGGCGGCGCGCAGCGCCGGAUCGGCGAAGCGCGCGCGCGCGGCCAUCGCGUCGGUCGCCCACACGCGCCCCUGCGCAUCGACGAUCAGCACGGCCUGCACGCCGAGCCGGCGCGCGAGCGGCAUCGCCGCGCGCCCCGCGAUGAACGGCGGCUUGCUCGCGCCGUCGGACAGCGCGCCCGCGUGCGGGCCGGGCGCGACGAGCACGGUCACCGCCUCGCUUUG